This 217-nucleotide ribosomal RNA is filed under the name Clostridium perfringens. Its description in RNAcentral is "partial 16S ribosomal RNA". It matches the Rfam family "Bacterial small subunit ribosomal RNA", at positions 1 to 215 of the family's 1533-position model. The record is from RNAcentral. Lineage: Bacteria; Bacillati; Bacillota; Clostridia; Eubacteriales; Clostridiaceae.
UAAAUUGAGAGUUUGAUCCUGGCUCAGGAUGAACGCUGGCGGCGUGCUUAACACAUGCAAGUCGAGCGAUGAAGUUUCCUUCGGGAAACGGAUUAGCGGCGGACGGGUGAGUAACACGUGGGUAACCUGCCUCAUGGAGUGGAAUAGCCUUCCGAAAGGAAGAUUAAUACCGCAUAAUGUUGAAAGAUGGCAUCAUCAUUCAACCAAAGGAGCAAUC